GACGUAGGGCGCAAGCGUUGUCCGGAUUUAUUGGGCGUAAAGAGCUCGUAGGCGGCCUGUCGCGUCGAUCGUGAAAGUCUGCAGCUUAACUGUGGGUUGGCGGUCGAUACGGGCGGGCUAGAGUUCGGUAGGGGAGACUGGAAUUCCUGGUGUAGCGGUGAAAUGCGCAGAUAUCAGGAGGAACACCGGUGGCGAAGGCGGGUCUCUGGGCCGAUACUGACGCUGAGGAGCGAAAGCGUGGGGAGCGAACAGG
RNAcentral lists this unclassified non-coding RNA (253 nucleotides) under uncultured Actinomycetes bacterium. RNAcentral's name for it is "uncultured actinobacterium contains 16S-23S intergenic spacer region". It matches the Rfam family "Bacterial small subunit ribosomal RNA", at positions 524 to 776 of the family's 1533-position model. The record is from RNAcentral. Lineage: Bacteria; Bacillati; Actinomycetota; Actinomycetes.